This 508-nucleotide ribosomal RNA is filed under the name uncultured bacterium. RNAcentral describes it as "bacterial SSU rRNA". It matches the Rfam family "Bacterial small subunit ribosomal RNA", at positions 791 to 1301 of the family's 1533-position model. The record is from RNAcentral.
UAGUCCACGCCGUAAACGAUGAGAACUAGGUGUUGGGGGUCGAACCUCAGUGCCGCAGCUAACGCAAUAAGUUCUCCGCCUGGGGAGUACGAUCGCAAGAUUGAAACUCAAAGGAAUUGACGGGGGCCCGCACAAGUAGCGGAGCAUGUGGUUUAAUUCGAAGCAACGCGAAGAACCUUACCAGGUCUUGACAUCCCUCAGACCGCUUCAGAGAUGAGGCUUUCCCUUCGGGGACUGAGGUGACAGGUGGUGCAUGGUUGUCGUCAGCUCGUGUCGUGAGAUGUUGGGUUAAGUCCCGCAACGAGCGCAACCCUUAUCUUUAGUUGCCAUCAUUUAGUUGGGCACUCUAGAGAGACUGCCGGUGAUAAACCGGAGGAAGGUGGGGAUGACGUCAAAUCAUCAUGCCCCUUAUGACCUGGGCUACACACGUGCUACAAUGGUUAGUACAGAGGGCAGCGAAACCGCGAGGUCAAGCAAAUCCCUUAAAGCUAAUCUCAGUUCGGAUUGC